UACGGGGGGGGCAAGCGUUGUUCGGAAUUACUGGGCGUAAAGGGUGCGUAGGUGGCCUGAUAAGUUUGAUGUGAAAGCUCAGGGCUUAACCCUGAAAUGGCAUUGAAUACUGUCGGGCUGGAGGUUUGGAGGGGGGACUGGAAUUCUUGGUGUAGCAGUGAAAUGCGUAGAUAUCAAGAGGAACACCAGUGGCGAAGGCGGGUCCCUGGACAACACCUGACACUGAGGCACGAAAGCUAGGGGAGCAAACAGG
This 253-nucleotide ribosomal RNA is filed under the name uncultured bacterium. Its description in RNAcentral is "partial 16S ribosomal RNA". It matches the Rfam family "Bacterial small subunit ribosomal RNA", at positions 524 to 776 of the family's 1533-position model. The record is from RNAcentral.